CCUCUUCCCAUUCCGAACAGAGAAGUUAAGCCCGCCUGCGCCGAUGGUACUGCAAUGCAAUGCGGGAGAGUAGGAGGCCGCCACUU
RNAcentral lists this ribosomal RNA (86 nucleotides) under Prevotella sp. Lineage: Bacteria; Pseudomonadati; Bacteroidota; Bacteroidia; Bacteroidales; Prevotellaceae. The record is from RNAcentral.